ACUUCCACUUCACUCCGAAUCUCUCCAAAUACUUCCCAACUCAUGGUUAAUGAUUCCCAAACCUCCAAUUUAAUUUGGAAAUACCACACUUUACAUUCAUUCCUUAUUUUGCUCACUUUGCUCAACAUGAGUCUUAUAAUCCGACAACUUCCUUUUACAUUUUGUUUCGCGUCCAACUUGCGCCGAAACACUCAUUUAUCACCGGAAUUCAUUCCCACGCAUCCAAAAUCACUCGGGGAUGAUGUCCAACUAGCUCAAGCCUUACUUUAAUCCCCUAGAGCAAAGUUGACAUCGCAACUCCAAGAUACCAUAUAUUACAACUUCCCCCCGUUAACAAAAGUUUCGUCCGCGAAACUUAAAUACAUAUUACUCCUCAUUGCUUAACGGAUGGAGAUAAAUUCCAACACCAUUCCAAUGUUUCUCGACUUCCCCCAUGCUAUACUGAUUUCUCCCAAUCAGUCUCUACGAACACUUCGUUCAUGUCUCCAUAUCAACUCGUCAUCAGCGAUUAACUUAGCCACUGUCACUUCUAGUGCAUCCG
This 541-nucleotide long non-coding RNA is filed under the name Ananas comosus (pineapple). RNAcentral's name for it is "long non-coding RNA (ACOM_LNC044059)". The record is from RNAcentral. Lineage: Eukaryota; Viridiplantae; Streptophyta; Magnoliopsida; Poales; Bromeliaceae.